AGUUUUUUGAAUCCAUGACGAGAUUUCCUCAGAUACCACACCAUAAGUAUUGAUGAGACUGUCAUGAUAAGCGAAGCG
This is a non-coding RNA of Schistosoma haematobium, 78 nucleotides long. NCBI's taxonomy places the organism in Eukaryota, Metazoa, Platyhelminthes, Trematoda, Strigeidida, Schistosomatidae. The record is from Rfam.